RNAcentral lists this ribosomal RNA (254 nucleotides) under uncultured bacterium. RNAcentral's name for it is "partial 16S ribosomal RNA". It matches the Rfam family "Bacterial small subunit ribosomal RNA", at positions 524 to 776 of the family's 1533-position model. The record is from RNAcentral.
UACGUAGGGCGCGAGCGUUGUCCGGAAUUAUUGGGCGUAAAGAGCUCGUAGGCGGUUGAGUAAGUCGGGUGUGAAAACUCUGGGCUUAACCCAGAGCCGCCACUCGAUACUGCUCUGACUUGAGUACGGUAGGGGAGCAGGGAAUUCCUAGUGUAGCGGUGAAAUGCGCAGAUAUUAGGAGGAACACCGGUGGCGAAGGCGCUGCUCUGGGCCGAAACUGACGCUGAGGAGCGAAAGCGUGGGUAGCAAACAGG